This 85-nucleotide transfer RNA is filed under the name Clostridium gasigenes. RNAcentral's name for it is "tRNA-Tyr". It matches the Rfam family "tRNA". Rfam says of the family: Transfer RNA (tRNA) molecules are approximately 80 nucleotides in length. Their secondary structure includes four short double-helical elements and three loops (D, anti-codon, and T loops). The record is from RNAcentral. Lineage: Bacteria; Bacillati; Bacillota; Clostridia; Eubacteriales; Clostridiaceae.
GGAGAAUUUCCCGAGUGGCCAAAGGGAGCAGACUGUAAAUCUGUUGCGUAUCGCUUCGGUGGUUCAAAUCCACCAUUCUCCACCA